Molecule: ribosomal RNA, 493 nt
Filed under: uncultured bacterium
Lineage: Bacteria
Description: partial 16S ribosomal RNA
Rfam family: Bacterial small subunit ribosomal RNA
Source: RNAcentral
GACGAACGCUGGCGGCGUGCUUAACACAUGCAAGUCGAACGGUGAAGGGACCGGUUUUUGCUGGUUCUGGAUGAGUGGCGAACGGGUGAGUAACACGUGAGUAACCUGCCCCCUUCUUCUGGAUAACCGCAUGAAAGUGUGGCUAAUACGGGAUAUUCUGCGCCUGCUGCAUGGUGGGUGGGGGAAAGAUAUUGUUUCGGUGGGGGAUGGGCUCGCGGCCUAUCAGCUUGUUGGUGGGGUGAUGGCCUACCAAGGCGGUGACGGGUAGCCGGCCUGAGAGGGUGGACGGUCACACUGGGGCUGAGACACGGCCCAGACUCCUACGGGAGGCAGCAGUGGGGAAUAUUGCACAAUGGGCGCAAGCCUGAUGCAGCGACGCCGCGUGAGGGAUGGAGGCCUUCGGGUUGCAAACCUCUUUCGCCAGUGAAGCAGGCCUGUCCCUUUUGUGGGUGGGUUGACGGUAGCUGGAUAAGAAGCGCCGGCUAACUACGUG